GUUCGUCAGGGCCUCGUGUAGGACGUUUUUUUUCUCCUCCUCCUUCAGCUGCCGGCUGAGCAGGAUGAAGCCCGGGAUGCAAAUGAUGAAGGAGACAGUCCGUAGGCUCAGAGUCAGGCCCAGGUCUCUGAUUGUGGAAGGACUUCCUGUUCCUCCGCUGCCGCCAUCUCUUCUGCUUCAUCGAGGUCGUCGGCUGACUCCUCCUCUUUGCUCGCCUGCUCCUGCUCUUCCUCCUCCUCGCGGAUUGCUGUGAUUGAAUCUGCAGGAGAUGCUGUGUGAUCUGACAAAAGACCUUCCGUCUGCGCAGCUUUUUGGCUUCUUGCCUCUCUGUGGACACAAAAGGAAAACUUGCCAGCUUAGUGACUGAAGAAAAAAUAUGGCUUUCAGUACUUACUCUGUAAAAAGAAUGACAACCGUUUGCUGACCAUUUUCUUUUUCCAUCAUAUUGAUUUAUCAUGGCAGUGCUAAAAUAAUGUAUUGUAAUGUCUGUUACUGUUACGAGGAAGUAUUAGGGCAAGUAGAUAGAAAAAAGAAAAGAAAACUGGCCUUGGAAGAGAAUAUUUUUGCAAAAUAAUUUUAAGAUUUGAAAAUUCAAUUCAUAUUUACAUGAAGAAACUUGAAUAUUCUCUAUCAAAAAGUCUUACAUUUGCAGAAAUAAAAUCACACUUCCCCAUUAUCAAAGAUACAGUUUUACAUUAAAACUAGGAUGUGUCUGAUACUGUGAAGUCAGACAUUUGGAAAAAGAAUUGAAAAAGAAAAAAACUCAGAGUAACUGAGCAGUAUUUAUCUUUGUGAGGUGUGAUUGCAGUACGGCAUGCAGUUCUAGCCAUAUAAGUUACUGCAAAAAAAAAACCUGCAAUGGAUGUUUAGAUACUUUUGAUGAUCACUUUUAUCGAUUUCUUUUCAGGGCUCUUUCUUUCAAAGUACAGGAUUUGGUACCAAGCGAAUAGAUUGUAUCGUCUUGGUGCAAAGACACAAGUGAUGUGUUUGGAGAUUUAUAGUUUUUUACAAUUUGAAGUCCUUUUACAAUAUUUCUUAUGCUUGAAAGAUGUUUCAAAGGACCUUGUCCUAUAAUGCAUUAAAUAUGUGUGAAGAAUCAAUAUUUUAAGUAUUGACCGUUUUUCCCUAAAAACUAUCAAAUUUAAGCAUAAAAAUCUUUAUGGAACAAUAAUUGUUUGUGACAUACUUUGUCAA
Gambusia affinis (western mosquitofish) is the source of this 1194-nucleotide long non-coding RNA. RefSeq lists it as uncharacterized. The record is from RefSeq and is a predicted model, not a curated record. Lineage: Eukaryota; Metazoa; Chordata; Actinopteri; Cyprinodontiformes; Poeciliidae. The transcript is spliced from 3 exons.